This 491-nucleotide ribosomal RNA is filed under the name uncultured bacterium. RNAcentral's name for it is "partial 16S ribosomal RNA". It matches the Rfam family "Bacterial small subunit ribosomal RNA", at positions 28 to 507 of the family's 1533-position model. The record is from RNAcentral.
GAUGAACGCUGGCUACAGGCUUAACACAUGCAAGUCGAGGGGAAACGACGGGGAAGCUUGCUUCCCCGGGCGUCGACCGGCGCACGGGUGAGUAACGCGUAUCCAACCUGCCUCUGACUGAGGGAUAACCCGUCGAAAGUCGGCCUAAUACCUCAUGGCAUCGUCUGCGGGCAUCCAACGACGAUUAAAGAUUUCAUCGGUCAGAGAUGGGGAUGCGUCUGAUUAGCUUGUUGGCGGGGUAACGGCCCACCAAGGCGACGAUCAGUAGGGGUUCUGAGAGGAAGGUCCCCCACAGUGGAACUGAGACACGGUCCAAACUCCUACGGGAGGCAGCAGUGAGGAAUAUUGGUCAAUGGGCGAGAGCCUGAACCAGCCAAGUAGCGUGCAGGAUGACGGCCCUAUGGGUUGUAAACUGCUUUUAUGCGGGGAUAAAGUGAGGGACGUGUCCUUCAUUGCAGGUACCGCAUGAAUAAGGACCGGCUAAUUCCGUG